UACAGAGGGUGCGAGCGUUAAUCGGAUUUACUGGGCGUAAAGCGUACGUAGGUGGUCUUUUAAGUCGGAUGUGAAAUCCCUGAGCUUAACUUAGGAAUUGCAUUCGAUACUGGGAGACUAGAGUAUGGGAGAGGAUGGUAGAAUUCCAGGUGUAGCGGUGAAAUGCGUAGAGAUCUGGGGGAAUACCGAUGGCGAAGGCAGCCAUCUGGCCUAAUACUGACGCUGAGGUACGAAAGCAUGGGGAGCAAACAGG
This 253-nucleotide unclassified non-coding RNA is filed under the name uncultured Moraxellaceae bacterium. RNAcentral describes it as "contains 16S-23S intergenic spacer region". It matches the Rfam family "Bacterial small subunit ribosomal RNA", at positions 524 to 776 of the family's 1533-position model. The record is from RNAcentral. Lineage: Bacteria; Pseudomonadati; Pseudomonadota; Gammaproteobacteria; Moraxellales; Moraxellaceae.